RNAcentral lists this ribosomal RNA (521 nucleotides) under uncultured Glomeraceae. RNAcentral describes it as "SSU rRNA". It matches the Rfam family "Eukaryotic small subunit ribosomal RNA", at positions 569 to 1092 of the family's 1831-position model. The record is from RNAcentral. Lineage: Eukaryota; Fungi; Glomeromycota; Glomeromycetes; Glomerales; Glomeraceae.
AGCAGCCGCGGUAAUUCCAGCUCCAAUAGCGUAUAUUAAAGUUGUUGCAGUUAAAAAGCUCGUAGUUGAAUUUCGAGACCGGUUUACUGGUCGUGCUUUUGUACGUACUGGUAUUAUUGGUUUCUCCUUUCUGACGAAUCAUAAUGCCAUUAAUUUGGUGUUUUGGGGAAUCAGGACUGUUACUUUGAAAAAAUUAGAGUGUUUAAAGCAGGCUCACGCUUGAAUACAUUAGCAUGGAAUAACGAAAUAGGACGUUUGAUUUUAUUUUGUUGGUUUCUAGGAUCGACGUAAUGAUUAAUAGGGAUAGUUGGGGGCAUUAGUAUUCAAUUGUCAGAGGUGAAAUUCUUGGAUUUAUUGAAGACUAACUACUGCGAAAGCAUUUGCCAAGGAUGUUUUCAUUAAUCAAGAACGAAAGUUAGGGGAUCGAAGACGAUCAGAUACCGUCGUAGUCUUAACCAUAAACUAUGCCGACUAGGGAUCGGAUGAUGUUAAUUUUUUAAUGACUCAUUCGGCGCCUUACG